RNAcentral lists this long non-coding RNA (1537 nucleotides) under Rattus norvegicus (Norway rat). RNAcentral's name for it is "long non-coding RNA NONRATT010109". Lineage: Eukaryota; Metazoa; Chordata; Mammalia; Rodentia; Muridae. The record is from RNAcentral.
GGGUUUUAAUCUUGGAAACAAUGAUUGGGCUCUAUGGUGAGUAGAGACAGACAGACGGCCAGCCAGCCCAGCCCCUGCUUACCAGCCUCCCCCAAACCUUCAUGGGAUGGAACUCACCUGAGUCCAGUUCUGAGGCUGAAGAAGCAUAGGCUACAGAGACUACCCAACCCUGAAUGAUUGAUCCGCUCUCCACCGGACUCAUCCCUGUGCCUCUCUCUAGGCAUUGUGGGUGAUGUAGUCACUUACAGAGCUUGGAGACAACAUGAGAUUUGCAAGAAAUUAUGGGCAAUGAAAACAGACUCCUAAGCUGGGCACGGUGGCCCACACCUUUGAUCCCAGCACGCAGGAGGCAGAGGCAGGUGGAUCUCUGUGAGCUCAAGGCCAGCCUGGUCUACAGAGUGAGUCCCAGGACAGCCAGGGCUACACAGAGAAACCCUGUCUCGAAAAACAAAACACAACAACAGGAAGAGAGAGAGAGAGAGAGAGAGAGAGAGAGAGAGAGAGAGAGAGAGAAGAAAAAGAAAAGGAAAAGAAACCAAAUACCUAAUCAGCAAGGGAUUGUGGGUAACAGCCAGACUCUAGCUAUACUGGGGUCAGGGGUCAUACAAUUAGAGCCCAAACCCAUAGGAUGAUGGAUGUAGACUCCACUCGGGCUUCAACUCUACAGAGGUCAUGGGCAAUGGAGACAGUCUCCAGACCUACAGGAAAAUAGGUUAUGCAGCUAGAUUCCAAAAGUGCAGGGAACUGGGGGUGACAGAGGCAGACUCAGGACCCAGAGGAGUCUGGAUAAUAGAGCACUCGCCAGUUCUGACCAGCUUCCCAUUGAGACUCCUACAGGGCCUGCUUUCCUGGCCCCAGGUAUCCCUCCUGCAGUUGCCACUGUGGUCCUGGUGUGUCCUAAGUUCCCUGUCAGGGCUCAGGAGCGCCCAGCCCUUAGCCCGUCACCCACCCUCCAGGUUCCCAUCCUCCUGGCUACCUGAGGAGCUAGGCAAGCCUUUCUCCCUCUCUCAUGAGGGGACACUGAGGUCCAGUGCACACUGGGCCAGACUCCUGCCCUGAAGCCUGUCAGCAUCUGGCUGCCUUCUCCCCGCUUGGCGCCCAGCCCAGCCCUUAGAGACCAGACUCGCACUGUCUGUCUUCUUGACCUCCAUCAGGCUCCUAGCUUACAGAGCUUCCUACAGCAGCAGGCUCAGCUGGAGCUCCUGGCCAGACGGGUCACACUGCUGGAAGCCAUCAUCUGGCCAGGUAACGGCAGGGCGGGCAGGCAGGGGCAAACCCUCCCGUGAUGGGCCUGGGACAGGCUUGGGCAUGAAGAUGUCCACGGUGCUUGGUGUGAACCAGAAGACACUUUGCAGCCUCCCACUCAAGGACACGGAGCCUGGCACAUGAGCUGGCUUCCCUGCUCUGACCGUCACCUACCUGCACAGGCUCCAACAGAGCCAACGGGUAUAGCCGUGCCCUCGUGCAGCUUAGAGCUGGGGUAGGGGGAUGGCACUGGCAGUGAAAGCUAAGAAGGGAUAAGUGACAGCCCUGCAUU